GAUGAACGCUGGCGGCGUGCCUAAUACAUGCAAGUCGAGCGAACAGACGAGGAGCUUGCUCCUCUGACGUUAGCGGCGGACGGGUGAGUAACACGUGGAUAACCUACCUAUAAGACUGGGAUAACUUCGGGAAACCGGAGCUAAUACCGGAUAACAUGUUGAACCGCAUGGUUCAACAGUGAAAGACGGUCUUGCUGUCACUUAUAUAUGGAUCCGCGCCGCAUUAGCUAGUUGGUAAGGUAACGGCUUACCAAGGCAACGAUGCGUAGCCGACCUGAGAGGGUGAUCGGCCACACUGGAACUGAGACACGGUCCAGACUCCUACGGGAGGCAGCAGUAGGGAAUCUUCCGCAAUGGGCGAAAGCCUGACGGAGCAACGCCGCGUGAGUGAAGAAGGUCUUCGGAUCGUAAAACUCUGUUAUUAGGGAAGAACAAAUGUGUAAGUAACUAUGCACGUCUUGACGGUACCUAAUCAGAAAGCCACGGCUAACUACGUG
This 497-nucleotide ribosomal RNA is filed under the name uncultured bacterium. Its description in RNAcentral is "partial 16S ribosomal RNA". It matches the Rfam family "Bacterial small subunit ribosomal RNA", at positions 28 to 507 of the family's 1533-position model. The record is from RNAcentral.